RNAcentral lists this ribosomal RNA (260 nucleotides) under uncultured bacterium. Its description in RNAcentral is "partial 16S ribosomal RNA". It matches the Rfam family "Bacterial small subunit ribosomal RNA", at positions 524 to 780 of the family's 1533-position model. The record is from RNAcentral.
UACGUAGGGUGCAAGCGUUAAUCGGAAUUACUGGGCGUAAAGCGUGCGCAGGCGGUUUUGUAAGUCUGUCGUGAAAUCCCCGGGCUCAACCUGGGAAUUGCGAUGGAGACUGCAAGGCUAGAAUCUGGCAGAGGGGGGUAGAAUUCCACGUGUGAGCAGUGAAAUGCGUAGAGAUGUGGAGGAACACCGAUGGCGAAGGCAGCCCCCUGGGUCAAGAUUGACGCUCAUGCACGAAAGCGUGGGGGAGCAAACGAGGAUUA